UACGUAGGGUCCGAGCGUUGUCCGGAAUUACUGGGCGUAAAGCGCGCGCAGGCGGCCCGCGAGGUGUCACGUGAAAGCCCCGGGCUCAACCCGGGAGGGUCGUGGCAAACCGGCGGGCUUGAGGCCGGUAGAGGUGGGUGGAACUCCUGGUGGAGUGGUGAAAUGCGUAGAGAUCAGGAAGAACACCCGUGGCGAAGGCGGCCCACUGGGCCGGUACUGACGCUGAGGCGCGAAGGCGUGGGGAUCAAACCGG
RNAcentral lists this ribosomal RNA (253 nucleotides) under uncultured bacterium. RNAcentral describes it as "partial 16S ribosomal RNA". It matches the Rfam family "Bacterial small subunit ribosomal RNA", at positions 524 to 776 of the family's 1533-position model. The record is from RNAcentral.